Molecule: ribosomal RNA, 253 nt
Filed under: uncultured bacterium
Lineage: Bacteria
Description: partial 16S ribosomal RNA
Rfam family: Bacterial small subunit ribosomal RNA
Source: RNAcentral
GACGAAGGAGGCAAGCGUUGUUCGGAAUUACUGGGCGUAAAGGGCGCGUAGGCGGUCUCAUAAGUCCCGUGUGAAAGCCCCCGGCUCAACCGGGGAACGGCACGGGAAACUGCGAGGCUUGAGUUCGGGAGAGGGAAGCGGAAUUCCGGGUGUAGCGGUGAAAUGCGUAGAUAUCCGGAGGAACACCAGUGGCGAAGGCGGCUUCCUGGACCGAUACUGACGCUGAGGCGCGAAAGCUAGGGGAGCAAACGGG